CACGUAGGGCGCAAGCGUUGUCCGGAAUCAUUGGGCGUAAAGAGCGCGCAGGCGGUCGUUCAAGUCGCGUGUGAAAGCCCCCGGCUCAACUGGGGAGGGUCACGCGAUACUGAUCGACUCGAAGGCAGGAGAGGGUAGUGGAAUUCCCGGUGUAGUGGUGAAAUGCGUAGAUAUCGGGAGGAACACCAGUGGCGAAGGCGACUACCUGGCCUGUUCUUGACGCUGAGGCGCGAAAGCUAGGGGAGCAAACGGG
RNAcentral lists this ribosomal RNA (253 nucleotides) under uncultured bacterium. RNAcentral's name for it is "partial 16S ribosomal RNA". It matches the Rfam family "Bacterial small subunit ribosomal RNA", at positions 524 to 776 of the family's 1533-position model. The record is from RNAcentral.